This 467-nucleotide ribosomal RNA is filed under the name uncultured bacterium. RNAcentral describes it as "partial 16S ribosomal RNA". It matches the Rfam family "Bacterial small subunit ribosomal RNA", at positions 28 to 507 of the family's 1533-position model. The record is from RNAcentral.
GACGAACGCUGGCGGCGUGCUUAACACAUGCAAGUCGAACGGAAAGGCCCUGCUUUUGUGGGGUGCUCGAGUGGCGAACGGGUGAGUAACACGUGAGUAACCUGUCCUUGACUUUGGGAUAACUUCAGGAAACUGGGGCUAAUACCGGAUAGGAGCUCCUGCUGCAUGGUGGGGUUGGAAAGUUUCGGCGGUUGGGGAUGGACUCGCGGCUUAUCAGCUUGUUGGUGGGGUAGUGGCUUACCAAGGCUUUGACGGGUAGCCGGCCUGAGAGGGUGACCGGCCACAUUGGGACUGAGAUACGGCCCAGACUCCUACGGGAGGCAGCAGUGGGGAAUAUUGCACAAUGGGCGGAAGCCUGAUGCAGCAACGCCGCGUGCGGGAUGACGGCCUUCGGGUUGUAAACCGCUUUCGCCUGUGACGAAGCGUGAGUGACGGUAAUGGGUAAAGAAGCACCGGCUAACUACGUG